RNAcentral lists this long non-coding RNA (3908 nucleotides) under Olea europaea subsp. europaea. Lineage: Eukaryota; Viridiplantae; Streptophyta; Magnoliopsida; Lamiales; Oleaceae. The record is from RNAcentral.
AAAAUUUUAAUAUUCGAUGAUCUCCAUAAUCUUAUUCAAUUUAAGUAAUCUUAUUCAAUCACAUUAACAUGCCUCUCAAAUUAAUGUUGGUAAAAGUAUCAAUUUACAAUCAUGAACGAACGACAAUGACAAUACUCGUGCCCAUGAAGAAGAGACCCAAAUCACAGCAGAAACAACCAAGAACCACUCCAAGAACACUUCAAAGAGCUCAUAUCCCAAGAAGAAUUUUCAAAAUAAAUUCACAAAGUGUACCGACCUCACACAAUGAGCUCUAUCAGUCGAACAUAGAAUUUGCAUUCCAACGAAAGCUCUAACGAUCAAUUCACCGAUGAAAAGUUCAGCAAUAUAUUGCUGACCAAGAUGCUGCAGUUGGAAGAAAUCCAACCGAACAACCUACACCAAAAACUCAAAGAUCAUCCCUCCACUAGGAAUCCAAAACCACUCAAGGUUGACCUCUCAUGAGAAUCUAAAUCUUUAGCUCAUCAUUUAGCAUCAAUUUGUUUACAUGAAACUGAUGUAAAAAAGAACUCAAAGGUCCAACUCCAAUGGGCAAACCCCAAAAAUAACCUCACACACAUGCUACAGUCCAUCCUUCUUCUACUAUUCAUUAAGACCUCCAACAACAGCCGAAUAUACCAAAUCAACCCAUUACCAGGCCCAAAUACUAAAUCUGAAAGUUAAAAUCUCCAGCAACAGUCUAAUAUACCAAAUUGAACCAUAAUAAGGCCCAAACACCAAAUCCAAUAGUACUAAAACCAUGAACCUACACAUAACUACAAACUCGACAUAAAUUACAUCAUCUCCAUCUCCCAAACGCUAAACCAUUGUCGCUAUGGGUUUUUCUCCACGCCAACAAUGCCUCAUCCAAUCGGCAACCUAAUCUCUUUGUCUCUGGCAUUGCCUCCAUCCAGGCUCGGCUUGGCAGUAUCUUGAGAAUUUCCCUUCUCUCUAUUUCUUUGUCCCUUCUCUCUAUUUCUUUGCAAUUUUUGAACCCUUUUCAUAUUAGGGUAAUUUUGAGAUUCAUUUAUCUAUGCUUGCUUUGAAACUAGACCAAGUGAUUGAAGGCAUCAGAAGUGCAUAGUAGAUUCAAGGGAAUGGCGCCAAGAGAGCCGUUGCUGCGGUAAAUUAGUUGAAGAGCUUAGCAGCUUCGAUAGAGAUAUCGCCUUUACCGACACCGACCGUGCCGACAUCUUCAUCUGCUUGUUAUGUUAUUUUAUCUAUAUCAGUCUAUUGAUCGCAGAGUAAUUUAGGGCUUUAGGGUUUAAAGAAAAUGCGCCAUUGGAGAACUAAAGAGUACUCUUUCUCUUCUCUCCGUCUAUUUCAAUUUUGAUAAAUGGGAGUGAAAGAGGACGAUUUUGCUUUUCUGAACGAUUUACAAUAAUGGAGGUUGAAAGUCUCAAUAUGUUGAAACGUGAACAAGAAAAAGAAACCAUUAACUCAAUUCGACGAAGACCAAGCGGAAGGAGCAAAACCUCAUCUUGCUGUGAGAAAACCGAACCAAGAAAACGAGAAAAAAUUCUAAGAAAGAGGCUCUAAUACCAUGUCAAGUAUGAUAUUCAAUAAGACUUGAUGCCUCACAAUGUGAAAUGUUCUCAUUGUAUAGAACCAAAUCAUAACUAAAUAUGGUAAAAAUAAUCUAUCUAUUUGUCAUAAUCUUCGACUAUUUCCAUAAUCUUAUUCAAUCUCCACAAUCUUCAAUCUCAUUAACACUUUGAGACUAGUUUACUUAGGAUCAUGUUACAUAUUUCCCGCACCAUUACUUCUACAACUUAAGUUCUUCUAGAAGUCUUUGUACUAGUGAAUUAUAGUUCCUAUUUGGUGCAAAUUAAAAUAAAGAUUUUAAUUUAAGUCAAAGUCAAUAACUAAUUUUAACUGCACCUUUAUGGGAUCCACAACUUUACAACCAUACAUUUCAACAAUUUUUAUCAAAAUCUACUAAAAAACUAAUUUUAAUCCCCACCAAACGUGGGCAUAAUUUAUUUAUCAAUAUGGGAUCAACUUACAAUGUCUCAUUACUAUUUCAUUUUAAUCCCCACCAAACGUGGGCAUAAUUUAUUUAUCAAUAUGGGGUCAACUUACAAUGUCUCAUUAUUAUUUCAUUGCAGUUCAUUGCUUCUUUCUAUCAACACAUCGUGGUUCAGAGAUGAGUAUCUCUUUCUCUCUCUCUCUCUAGUGUGCAUGAGCCUACAUGCAUUCCCAUCUACGGUAUAAAUAUGCAUACAAGAAUGCACAAAAGAAUAUAUAUUGAAGAUAGGGACAUAUGGUUGUUUGAAAAACUGAUAUAAUGGGGAAAGAUUGUACUAAAAUCAACAUUACUGACAAAUAUUAACUUCUGUGGACCUAGGUGAAAAGUCCACUUGAAGAAAAUGAAAUGGUUGGAAUCACUAAUUACAUUGACUUUGGCUUUGAGUUACAGACAAGGUAUUUUCAUAUGUUAAAUAUCGCAUACAUUGAUAUCAUAUAAAGUGGUGGAAUCCGACUUCAUUUUAUACUUUUCGUGAAGUAUUGACGAUGAAAAGUCAUUAAAUAAUAUUCAAGAGUCCACUUUUCAAGUGGCUGCAUCUUGGCAAGCCAAUAAAAACUUCUUACUGAAGGUAACACAAUUUUGAUAAUGUUUCUAAUCAUUUAGUUUGUGAUAGUAUUAUUUGUGAAGCAAUUAAGUUUAAGACAUCAAUGUGUCAAUUUUGCAGGGAAAUUCAUCAAUAGCUUUAGCAUUUAAAUCAUGGUGGAAACCUUCUUUCAUUUUCAGCAUGUCAGGUAUCUGAUAUGUGUGUCCCCUCGUUCUUAAGAGAUUUAGCUACAAAAUUCUAUGCCUCAAAAUUCGCUGUAUAAUAUCGAGCAUUUUAUAAUAGCUUGUUGUUUAAUCUUCAAAUAUUGCUCAUUAGUAGUAAACUUGCACAUUUGUCUAUAUCUCUGAACAAGUUAUGCUAUCACUGCUUUCGUUUUUUUCAUCGUUGAAGUAGAAUAAUUUUUAGGACAGACAGUGUUGUUCGAGACCUUGAGAGCAUGUGUUAUAUGCAUUAGUAGAAAGGAUUGGACAAUACAAUAUACUAGAUUUAGUUUAUUUUUCUUAUUUAGCCCCUAUUUGUUUUUCAUUGUUUCUAUAUUAAAAUGAAAAAUAUGACCGUUAUCCAUCACAUCAAACCAUCAAAUUUGAAUUUUGAUCUCUUGUGUGGGGCCUAUAACGGCUAUAUUUUUCAUUCUCAUUUUUACAAAAAUGGAAAACAAACGCUCCUUUAAUAUUGUUGAUUUUUUUUUUUUUUAAUUUUAUUCGAUCCACCUUAUGAAACAUGUCAUAACAAUGUAGAAUUGAGGAUGAAGAUAUUGAUUCCCGUUUUGUUGUUUCUCUAUCAUUCUUUGCCCCUCAUUCUCUGUUUAUAUAAUUUAUCUCAUUCUUCAACCAUUAAUUUCACUGGCUUACAACUGUCAGAGAUCGGACAAAACGAGGGACAUCAUUUGGAUUUGGUGUUCGUGUCGAUAACAUUAGGGAAGUAAGGUUGGAUACAUUUCCCUGUAUGCCUUCUCGAUACGAUUUUAUAAGCCCACGGAGGCUCCACCUUUGUAUUGCCAUUCUACAUCCAUGGAAAUUUGAUAUCAUCGCUUCCCUGAUUGUAGUUAUCAAAGGACAGACCCAAAUUUCGUUAUGUUGACCCCAAACAAGGAGCAUCUAGCUGAGGGCAUAUGCUGGAAAAUUAAGAAAAGACGAGUGCUCCCAUUUGAUGUAAAUUCUGGAAAUUUUGAUGGCAUGCCCAGGGAAUUGAGACCCUUGGCCAAAAUUUUGAAACCUUUUGGCAAUUUUGCUUUUGUUUGAUGGAAAAAUGAUCUACUAAGUAUCGAUGCUUAACUUAUAUUAAAAUCGGUGACAUUGAACAUCAAUUCAUCCUUAAAAUUCAAAUUUAAUUUAAAUA